CCAUGAUGGUUUUGAGGCCCUGGGCCUCAAGUUUGUUUUGCUUCAGCCCAAGGUAAACAUGCCUGUUUAAUUUAUGGAGAAACAUCUGCAGAGUCCAGUUUUAUGGCUUGUUCUUUGAAACGAUCACUUCGGAUACAUAAAAAAUGAGGUCAGUAACAUUGAGUCCCAAAGCAAAGAGCCGGCCUUUCCGGGCUCACCACGUAGCUUCCUCCCCGGCCCUGCUCAUGGCCCUGCCUGGCUGUCUCCUCUGCCUGGAGGCCUCUCACUCACCUUUAGGGUGGGCUCCUGGCAGGGCAGGGUGGCCUGAGGGGCCUUAGGGAGGAUUUAGGGGUGAACACCCAAGAUCCCGGGUCCAUGAGAUUCCUGGAGCCAGGAGAAGGUGGCUUCACCACUCAAUUCAGUCAUAGGGACCAGCCAGGCCCAGUCCCACAGAUGAGGAGUCCUGGAGGGUCCUAGGCCUGGUGACAGUAAUGCCCAGAAGAGAUGGGGCGUCAGGAGUCACCCGACUGGCCUGAAAAUCUGAUGGCACCUCCAGCGCCACGGCGAGCUCUGGGGCCAGGGCCACCUGCUGCAGGGACCACGGGUUGAGUGGCAACAUCCAGGCCCCAGCCACUUGCAUCUCAGCCACUGGAAAGGGGACAGCCACCAUCCGAGCCCCCCAUCCAGGGGUUCCCAUGUGGGGACACCUUCUGGCAGCCCAGCUGAGCUCCCACCCCUAGCAAACACUGCCGGCCUCUCACCCCAGAGCGCUUUCAAUGGCAGCAGCCUCCAAGGGCACCCACUGAGAGACCCCAACUGAGAGCCCCCAACCACGCCCUCCGAACUCCUGGCCAGUGGGACGGUGAGUGAGGAGGCCCGAGAUCUGCCUCACAACUCGGUAACAGAGCAGAGCAUGCCUGCUCCAAGCCGGGGUUCUCUCCAGACAU
RNAcentral lists this long non-coding RNA (926 nucleotides) under Homo sapiens (human). Its description in RNAcentral is "HSALNT0068268". The record is from RNAcentral. Lineage: Eukaryota; Metazoa; Chordata; Mammalia; Primates; Hominidae.